CUGACUUGUUUCAAGGCUUCUGCUAAGACCCAAGGAACAGGAAGAGGACUUUCUUAGUCCAGCCAACUUGGAAGAACAUGUCUUCGGUUGACUGGAUAAGGCCCACCAGUAGUGGGGAAGACAAUCGGCUAUACUCAGUCUACCAAUUCAAAUGUUUGUCAUGCAGAAAUACUCUCCCAGACACGCCCAAGAAGAUGUUUAACCAAAUGUGUGGGCAGCCAUGUCCCAGUCAAGUUGAUACAUGAAAUCAACCAUCACAGACACAGUGUUUUUCUGUUAGGUGAGUUGACCAAACCUCUCUUCGACUCUCAAUCGACUUUAUUUCCUUGGGAAAUAUUUUAAUUUCAGGAGAGUCCUUUUUUUUUUUUUUUCCAUCUGAUCAAUGUUAACAGCCAAGAAUUGAGAAAUUCGGAAUAAUAAAGUACCAUAGUCCUACUUUGGGAUGUGACUGUAAGAAUUUUAAGAACCAUGAGACAUAAAUAUCUCUUCUUGCCAAAAGGACAUCCAUCCGAUGGGUUUGUUUCUUCCCCA
RNAcentral lists this long non-coding RNA (531 nucleotides) under Homo sapiens (human). Its description in RNAcentral is "HSALNT0170196". The record is from RNAcentral. Lineage: Eukaryota; Metazoa; Chordata; Mammalia; Primates; Hominidae.